UGAAUACGAGACGCUACGGCGUCGAAGCAGUCUAUGUCAUACUUCCAAGAAAAGCUCGCAAUGUCAUAAACAAAUAAUGCCUGUACCAUAACCGACACAGGUGGGUAGGUAGAGUAUACUAAGGGGCGCGAGAUAACUCUCUCUAAGGAACUCGGCAAAAUGACUCCGUAACUUCGGGAGAAGGAGUGCCUUAUUUAUAAGGUUGCAAUAACAAGAUCCAAGCAACUGUUUAUCAAAAACACAGGUCUCCGCUAAGUCGUAAGACGAUGUAUGGGGGCUGACGCCUGCCCAGUGCCAGAAGGUUAAAGAAGUUGGUUAGCAUUCGCGAGCUGAUAACUGAAGCCCUGGUUAACGGCGGCCGUAACUAUAACGGUCCUAAGGUAGCGAAAUUCCUUGUCGGGUAAGUUCCGACCCGCACGAAAGGCGUAAUGAUUUGGAUACUGUCUCGGAGAGGGGCUCGGUGAAAUAGACUUGUCUGUGAAGAUGCGGACUACCUGCACCUGGACAGAAAGACCCUAUGAAGCUUUACUGUAACUUGAGAUUGAAAUUGGACUUUAUUUGCGCAGCAUAGGUGGGAGGCGUUGAGAGUAUCCUUGCGGGGAUAUUGGAGCCAUCAGUGAGAUACCACUCUUGUAAUGUUAGAUUUCUAACUUUGGAUCAUUAUCUGGUCAAAGAACAGUUUCAGGCGGGCAGUUUGACUGGGGCGGUCGCCUCCCAAAUGGUAACGGAGGCGUACAAAGGUUUCCUCUGAACGGGUAGAAAUCGUAUCUAGAGUGUAAAGGCAUAAGGAAGCUUGACUGUGAGACCUACAAGUCGAGCAGGGACGAAAGUCGGUCUUAGUGAUCUGACGGUGCUGAGUGGAAAGGCCGUCACUCAACGGAUAAAGGUUACUCUAGGGAUAACAGGCUGAUCUCCCCCAAGAGUUCACAUCGACGGGGAGGUUUGGCACCUCGAUGUCGGCUCGUCGCAUCCUGGGGCGGUAGUACGUCCCAAGGGUUGGGCUGUUCGCCCAUGAAAGCGGUACGCGAGCUGGGUUCAGAACGUCGUGAGACAGUUCGGUCCAUAUCCGGUGUAGGUUUAGAAUAUUGAGAGGAGCCUUCUUUAGUACGAGAGGACCGAGAAGGACAUACCUCUGGUGUACCAGUUAUCGUGCCAACGGUAAACGCUGGGUAGCUAUGUAUGGAGAGGAUAACCGCUGGAAGCAUCUAAGUGGGAAGCCCACCUCAAGAUAAG
This 1233-nucleotide ribosomal RNA is filed under the name metagenome. Its description in RNAcentral is "bacterial LSU rRNA". It matches the Rfam family "Bacterial large subunit ribosomal RNA", at positions 1564 to 2808 of the family's 2925-position model. The record is from RNAcentral.